CAAAGAAUACUGUGGUUUUUAUUGGAUUUAAAGGAAUAGAGCUCAUAAGUGCUUUCUAUGAUUGUUUUAUGUUAUUAUUAUAAGGCUAGCCUUAGCUGUGUAUGGUUGUUUGGUCUGGAGCUCCUUCAGCCAGAAGUGCCCUUCUAUCCAACAGGCAAAUUGCUACUCCUGCUUCAAAACCCACUGUCUCCUCCUCCAAGAAGUCUUCCCUAUCCACACCCUCAAGGAGUCCCCUAAGCCACCCCCCACCCCCUACCGUCUGGCUGAGCCCGUCCACCAUCUGUAUUGGGCUCUGUCUGCCCCAGAUGGGGCAGGGGAGAGUCCUGUAAGCUGGGUAGGCAGGACCUGUCUUGGCCUCUAAGUAUGGGGAGCUGCCCUGGGCAGACUCUGCCAGCCCCACUUUUCAAGGAGUCGAAAAACUGGCUCCUUCAGUCUCCUCUGCUGUGCACCUGCUGUUCCCUCUGACCCAACACCUUUUCCUACCCUCUCCUUUCUCCUAGCCAGAAAGCCCUCUGGGACACCCUAAUACUGCUCUUCCAUUGGGACCAAUCCUAUCCCCACCUCACCAGGCAGUUCAAUAGGAGGCCUGAAUCCAUCAACCAGCCAUAUGCAGUGAACUAGGGGUAACUCCUAUUCUCUCAUUCAUUCGACAGAUACUGACUGAGCACCUACUGUGAGCCAAGCGAUGGGGACACACACGAAUGACACAAACACCCUCACCCCGCACCCGGUCUGAAAGAGGAACCUGUCAAACACGGCUUCAAGGAGGCUGAAGGGUGCCCCCUCCAUGGACGGGGGUAUGUUUUAGAGUUGGGUGAUCUGGGAGGGGCACCCUGGGAGGUGAUGCUGAACGAAGGAGAAGCUGGAGCAAAUCUUGAGCUAAUUUGAAGGCCCAACCUCCCAGACUGUGGGAACAGCAAAAGCAAACGCCCUGGGGCAGAAACCAGCUGGCCACGUUGAUGGAGAGAGGCAGGUGCCUCUGGAUUGGGUGAGCCAGGGGAAGCCAGAGGGAGAGAAGGAAAGCAAGGGUGCAGGACUUCUACAGAACCCGGUGGUAUUUGUCCCAAGAGUAGUGGAAAUGGCUGUAGAAGAUGGGAUUGAGGGAGAAGCCGGUAACAGGGCUCAGCCUGGACUCUGCAUUUUCGCCCUUCCUCUCCCAGCCCCUCCAGGAGUCUCAGGACAUUAUCUCACUUCCCAGAUCAGCGUCCAGGGAGGGUGCGGGACCCACCCGGUCGAAAGAAUCCCCAACCCCUACCCCCACCCACCCAUCCCCGUUUGGAACGGAAGCUGAAACUAACCCCCACCCCUCUCCCAGCCACGGCUCUAAUCUCUGCCGCUCUGGCGCCUCUUUCUCGAGAGCGAAGAGUUUACCCUUCUUGUUUAAAGCGACCUGCAACUCGGUUUAAUGUUUAGUCUUUAUUUGAAGACCCAGAGAACUAAAAUCUACUCGAUGAAACGGAAAGCCCCAAAGAAAGAGAAAGAAGGAGUUAAUCAGGAAGCAGAAAGGGGUGAGGCGGAGGGGACCUCUCCAUGGGGAGGUACGCGGGGAAUGUCCCGCGGCGCUCGGGACACCGCGGGGCUGGGUAGAGUUUAUGGGGAACGUCCUCCGACACUUAGGACCCACCGGCUGGUGGGGGCGGGGCUUGCGAUCACAGUCCCCGAGUGACGGGACCCCGCUAGGGGGCCGGGGGAGGGGCGCCGGCCUUGGGCCGGGGGCGCGUCGGCCCCGGCGCAUUCCUGAGGAUCAGGUUACCGGCCUAGGCGGCGGCCCCUCCCCUCCCUUCCAGCCUGGCUUCCGCCCUCGCCAGGGGCAGGAACCACAGUCACCUCCCCCGUCCUGUGCAGGUGCUUGGCCAGCCGCAGGGAGGGGAUCCACACCCUGUCCUCUGGGCCGGCUCUGACGCUCUCCAGUCUCACAAGACCAUUUUACAGACGAGGAAACCGACGCGUCCUCAGCGCCUUUUCGGCACUGGUGGAACCAGACUGAUAGAGCUUGCUUUACGACCCGUGUGGCCCAGUUGACUCCACCGAGGCUGCAGUGUCCCCAGCCUCUCGUAGGCAGGCCGGGAAGAGCGGCUCAGUCUAAGUCCAGUGUUCAUUGAUUGUCCUGGGUGAGCCCAGAAGGGCGCCGGCUCAAGGAGAGAACCACGCCUCCCAACACCUUCCCUACCAGAUUCCUGCGCUCAUCCAGGGAACUCUGCUGUAUACCCAGGCCCAGCCUCAAGCACCAUCAAUCACCCCUUCCACCACCCACUCUUGAGCACCUACUGUGUGUCCGGGCUCUGUGUGCUGGGGGAGGGUUUUCCAUCAUCCCUCAUCACCUCCUAAGCUGAUCCGCGAAUAGAAGACAGGACAGAACCACCAUAAUGAAGAAAUAUGCUUUAGGCUGAUGUCACUCUCUCUCCUUCAGGUCGACCCCUUUUUCUGUUUUUACUUGGGUAAAUAUAUUUCAAAAGGGAAACUUCAUGUCACCGCCAA
Long non-coding RNA from Leopardus geoffroyi (Geoffroy's cat), 2478 nucleotides. RefSeq lists it as uncharacterized. The transcript has 2 exons. The record is from RefSeq and is a predicted model, not a curated record. Lineage: Eukaryota; Metazoa; Chordata; Mammalia; Carnivora; Felidae.